CUGGUACUCUCUCCGUUCGGAAUUACUUGUCUUAAAUAUGGAUGUAUUUAGAACUAAAAUAUAUCUAGAUACAUUCAUUUCUGCGACAAGUAAUUCUGAACGAAAGGAGUAGUUU
Non-coding RNA from Triticum urartu, 115 nucleotides. The record is from Rfam. NCBI's taxonomy places the organism in Eukaryota, Viridiplantae, Streptophyta, Magnoliopsida, Poales, Poaceae.